AUGAAAAAACAGUUGUCUACAGCACUCAUUUGAUUGUCAACCAAAGAGAUUCGGCAAGAACCUAGAAUUCUACAACUACAAAGUUAUUCAGGUUCUCAACAACAUACAGCUGCAUCAACUAAUAUCUCGAAUUGAUCCUAAUUCUGUUGUUCACCUCACAACAAUAUUUUAGCCAUUUAUAUUGGAUCAAUGUUGUCUGCACUGAAAUUAUAUCUCAUCAAUUAUUUCCAGAAGAUCAUCAAUUUCCUGUCUCAAAGCUCUAAUUCUUUGCUGGAUUGGUGCAAUACGGUUCUCAAUAUCUCGACCACCAGACUUCUUUUCAUAACUAUCUGUAACUGUGGUGUGUUUCACUAUCAGCUUCUCCUGCAGCUCUUUCUCCUUUGCAACAACAUCCUCAACCUUAGAAUAUAAUGAAGCAGACAGCGGAGAAGACUGCAAAAAGGAGACUAAAGGCUUUAAAUCCUUCAAAAGCUCCUUCAACAUAUUAUCAGCUGAUUUACGAGCAGCUUUGCAUGCUUGCACAUCACCAGUCCUUGACAGAUCUCGUAAUGAUGCUUCAAGUUUAUCAUGAAUGCCCAAACAAUGGUUCAUUAUGCUCUGGAUCUGCUGAAGAGCAGUCUGCACCUCAUCCCACUGCAGUUUUGCAAGAUAAGAAGGAGAGGACUUUGAGAUUGUUAGGUCCGCAUGCAUAUAUAUGAUACAUGCAAGGAAUAAGAAGAAAAAUCCAGAAAUUAACAUCAUUGGUUCUCUAAGCAGUGACAGAUUGCUGAACCUGUAAUAGACCUGGAAAUAUUGGUUAUGCUCAUGCACAGCAUUGGUCUUUUCAAGAACAACCACUGGUCUACCAAUCAUAUCCAAAUUGGAAAAUUUCGUGUCUCUUGACUCUUUGACAGGAAAAGGGACCGAGACAGAAAUAUCCUUUGAACCUUCUGGCAGUACAACCUUCACAACAAGGUUUUCAACAACCACCUCCUCAAUUGGGCAACCAAAAGAUAUAUUUAAGAAACGUUUCCCCUCUGCACGGAACAAAUAGUCCCUAAGGGGCAGCCCAUAGCCGAUGGUAAAAGAAGUUUUCCAGCCACCAAACAUCGGAUACCUAGGUUCAAUUUGUAACAAUGUCUUUGAUGAAUCACCCCAUAAAUUGGAUGUUGAUAUAUUGCCAAUUUCAUCUCUGUAAUAAAUGGAAUGGGCUCUUGGAGGCAAUUUGGCAACAAGAUGUCCGAAUGACGAUGCACCUCUGAGAUGUGGUCGGGCCUGGUACUCUAGCCUUGAAAACUCCCCACUGCUUCUGGCACCAGCAUUGACAAGGUUAUAAUGCUCUGUGAUCUGAACAUUUCCCCAAUGAGAGACUUCAAUCUCUCGCACUAACUCCUGGGCAACUGCGAAUGGCUUAUUGCUCACGAAGUGUACUGCUAUAUGCGAGAAUGAGAAAGGAGGAAGAUUCUCAUAAGGUCCAUAUUUAAUUUCUGAACCAGAAAAUUUGGUGUUCUCUAACUUAGUGUAUGAUUCGACUUUUGGUUCGGGUAAUUUGACACUGAGAGAUUGGACAUUAACUGCAUAAGGAGAAAUAUAGUAGGCACUCUCCUGAAACACAAGGAGCUGGAUAUCAGCUUGAGUAAUUUUCUCAGGAAAUGGCUGUAGUGCAUGCGUAAAUGCAGUCCUGACUUCCAAAUUUAGGCUCUGCCCCUUUGCCAGCUCCUUCGGUAGGGAGACAGAAUACCAAGUCAAUGAUGGUGGCAUGCCUUCAGGGUUAACAAGUUUGAUAGGUAGGCUAUUGGAAGAAGUUUUAGUUUUCCCUUUCCCUUCACUGGUUGUUGCCACUAAAAAUGCUAAAUCUUUUGCCUGGUGAUCUCCAAAUGGUAACAGAACCUCUGAAAUUGGAUCAUUACCAGUAUUUUCUAUCUUCAGAUUUGCAGUCACACGCACUACUUGAGAGGUCAGGUCAAUCUUUCGAUCAACUUUGGAGAUGACUAGAUCGGAAAGUGCAGGCGACCAUUGAGCAAGUAAAACGAAAAACGAAAACAACAAAUAAAGACGAAUCGUCAUUUUCUGAUUCUUCCUUUUAGCUUUAUGCGUUAUACUACUCCGGCUAUCAGAUCGGAAAAAUAUCAAACAGAGAAAAAGACCAUCGUCGGAG
Molecule: unclassified non-coding RNA, 2137 nt
Filed under: Hevea brasiliensis (rubber tree)
Lineage: Eukaryota; Viridiplantae; Streptophyta; Magnoliopsida; Malpighiales; Euphorbiaceae
Source: RNAcentral